GGGAGGUGAUGAGUGGUAAAAGCUUGCGCUUUGAUGCGUGAUGGGUGUGCGCCCAAAGCCUGUUACGACAAUGAGCACACUCUAAUCUUUACCAAUCUGAUCCC
Molecule: small nucleolar RNA, 104 nt
Organism: Dioscorea cayenensis subsp. rotundata (Guinea yam)
Lineage: Eukaryota; Viridiplantae; Streptophyta; Magnoliopsida; Dioscoreales; Dioscoreaceae
Product: small nucleolar RNA Z279/snoR105/snoR108
Exons: 1
Source: RefSeq, a predicted model, not a curated record